GUAGCCUGUUUUUUAUUUGCAACCGCGGGAAAAAUCGAGGUGCAAAAAGAUGACGACGACACAAUUGUUUUGUUGGUAUUUUGCAACCUUAUUUGGACCUGAACUGGCGUGUGCUGGAGGAAUCCUUGUUCAUAACUGGUUUGCAGCUGAGGUAUGUCCCUUUGUAACCUAUGGCACUUUAGCUGAGGUUCGUUGCGCCCAACUGUAGACCAUGAAGACCUGUGUUUGCACUACAUAUUUUUUCGUCGUAAUCGUACCAUCAACUUGCUUGUCGUGCUGGAGUGGAUAGCAUAAUCGGACACUCUCGGCUUAUGCUCUAAGCGAAAGGUAGAUAUAUUUGGGUUUGGAUUCCCAAAGCACAUCCCAAUGAGGCUAUGCAAAAUGGAGCGGCCCACAAUUUCGUGGAGUCCCCUUGCUGUUGUGUCUUCGACAUCUAAACGGAAUUUCUAUAUGGUCUUGUGCGCUCGUCAUCAACAGCACUACACUACUGUAGGUCCAGUGGGCCAAUCAGGCUGAACGUCAUCAUCCAGCUGUGACUGGGGUGGGUGUAGGAGUCGACACCUGCUGUUGCGCCGGCUCGAGCUAGUACUCGCAUGAGCUCGCUGGAAUUGCUAUGUGCAUCCACAAAGUCCGAAAGAACAAGCUGGAAAGGG
Sycon ciliatum is the source of this 653-nucleotide long non-coding RNA. RefSeq lists it as uncharacterized. NCBI's taxonomy places the organism in Eukaryota, Metazoa, Porifera, Calcarea, Leucosolenida, Sycettidae. The record is from RefSeq and is a predicted model, not a curated record. The transcript has 4 exons.